CCUACGGGUGGCUGCAGUAGGGAAUUUUCGGCAAUGGGGGGAACCCUGACCGAGCAACGCCGCGUGAACGAAGAAGUUAUUCGUAAUGUAAAGUUCUUUUAACAGGGAAGAAAGAGAAAUUUGACGGUACCUGAAGAAUAAGCUCCGGCUAACAACGUGCCAGCAGCCGCGUUAAUACGUAGGGAGCGAGCGUUCUCCGGAAUUAUUGGGCGUAAAGGGUGCGUAGAUGGCAUCGUAAGUCUUUUGUAAAAAUGCUGGGCUCAAACCAGGAGGGCAAAAGGUACUGCAAAGCUAGAGUAGGACAGAGGGAAGGGGGACUACGUGGGGAGCGGUAAAAUGCGUAAAUAUAUGU
This 352-nucleotide ribosomal RNA is filed under the name uncultured bacterium. Its description in RNAcentral is "partial 16S ribosomal RNA". It matches the Rfam family "Bacterial small subunit ribosomal RNA", at positions 338 to 701 of the family's 1533-position model. The record is from RNAcentral.